This 2909-nucleotide ribosomal RNA is filed under the name Lactiplantibacillus plantarum LP91. RNAcentral's name for it is "bacterial LSU rRNA". It matches the Rfam family "Bacterial large subunit ribosomal RNA". Lineage: Bacteria; Bacillati; Bacillota; Bacilli; Lactobacillales; Lactobacillaceae. The record is from RNAcentral.
ACAAGGGCGCAUGGUGAAUGCCUUGGCACUAGGAGCCGAUGAAGGACGGGACUAACACCGAUAUGCUUCGGGGAGCUGUACGUAAGCUAUGAUCCGGAGAUUUCCGAAUGGGGCAACCCAGCAGUUUUAAUCAACUGUUACCACUAGAUGAAUUCAUAGUCUAGUUGGAGGUAAACGCUGUGAACUGAAACAUCUCAUUAGCAGCAGGAAUAUAAAGAAAUUUCGAUUCCCUAAGUAGCGGCGAGCGAACGGGGAACAGCCCAAACCAAAGUGCUUGCACUUUGGGGUUGUAGGACUGAACAUUUGAGUUACCAAAGAACUUGAUAGUCGAAGGAUUUGGGAAAAUCCGCCAUAGAUGGUGAUAGCCCAGUAGAUUAAAUCAAAUUCUCUCAGUUCAGGAUCCUGAGUACGGCGGAACACGUGAAAUUCCGUCGGAAUCCGGGAGGACCAUCUCCCAAGGCUAAAUACUACCUAGUGACCGAUAGUGAACCAGUACCGUGAGGGAAAGGUGAAAAGCACCCCGGGAGGGGAGUGAAAUAGUUCCUGAAACCAUGUGCCUACAAUAAGUCAGAGCGCGUUAAUGCGUGAUGGCGUGCCUUUUGUAGAAUGAACCGGCGAGUUAUGAUCCCGUGCAAGGUUAAGACUAAAAAGUCGGAGCCGUAGCGAAAGCGAGUCUGAAAUGGGCGUUUUGAGUACGAGGUUAUAGACCCGAAACCAGGUGACCUAUCCAUGUCCAGGUUGAAGGUGCGGUAAAACGCACUGGAGGACCGAACCCGUGUAAGUUGAAAAUUGCUGGGAUGAGGUGUGGAUAGCGGUGAAAUUCCAAACGAACUUGGAGAUAGCUGGUUCUCUCCGAAAUAGCUUUAGGGCUAGCCUCGGAAUUAGGAUCAUGGAGGUAGAGCACUAUUUGGACUAGGGGCCCGUCUUGGGUUACUGAAUUCAGAUAAACUCCGAAUGCCAUUGAUUCAUAUCCGGGAGUCAGACGAUGAGUGAUAAGAUCCACCGUCGAAAGGGGAACAGCCCAGACCAUCAGUUAAGGUCCCUAAAUGUAUGCUAAGUGGAAAAGGAUGUGGAGUUGCAUAGACAACUAGGAUGUUGGCUCAGAAGCAGCCACCAUUUAAAGAGUGCGUAAUAGCUCACUAGUCGAGUGAUCCUGCGCCGAAAAUGUACCGGGGCUAAGCAUACUACCGAAACCAUGGAUGCGACCAUUAGGUCGCGUGAUAGGAGAGCGUUCUAAGGGCGGUGAAGCAAGAUCGUGAGGACUUGUGGAGCGCUUAGAAGUGAGAAUGCCGGUAUGAGUAGCGAAAGAUAGGUGAGAAUCCUAUCCACCGAAUGACUAAGGUUUCCUGGGGAAGGCUCGUCCUCCCAGGGUUAGUCGGGACCUAAGUCGAGGCCGAGAGGCGUAGACGAUGGAUAACAGGUUGAGAUUCCUGUACUAGUUAAGUGCGUUUGAGCAAUGGAGGGACGCAGGAGGCUAAGAUGUGCAUUCUGUUGGAUUAGAAUGUCCAAGCAGUAAGUCUNGUGAAGAGUCAAAUGCUUUUCACUUUAAGGACAAGCUGUGAUGGGGAGCGAAAUUUAGUAGCGAAGCGUCUGAUGUCACACUGCCGAGAAAAGCUUCUAGUGAGUACUUAACUACCCGUACCGCAAACCAACACAGGUAGUCGAGGAGAGAAUCCUAAGGUGAGCGAGUGAACUCUCGUUAAGGAACUCGGCAAAAUGACCCCGUAACUUCGGGAGAAGGGGUGCUGAUCGCAAGAUCAGCCGCAGUGAAUAGGCCCAGGCGACUGUUUAUCAAAAACACAGGUCUCUGCAAAAUCGUAAGAUGACGUAUAGGGGCUGACGCCUGCCCGGUGCUGGAAGGUUAAAAGGAUGGGUUAGCUUCGGCGAAGCUCAGAAUUGAAGCCCCAGUAAACGGCGGCCGUAACUAUAACGGUCCUAAGGUAGCGAAAUUCCUUGUCGGGUAAGUUCCGACCCGCACGAAAGGCGUAACGAUCUGGGCACUGUCUCAACGAGAGACUCGGUGAAAUUAUAUUGUCCGUGAAGAUGCGGACUACCCGCGACAGGACGGAAAGACCCCAUGGAGCUUUACUGUAGCUUGAUAUUGAGUGUUUGUACAGCUUGUACAGGAUAGGUAGGAGCCAUAGAAACCGGAACGCUAGUUUCGGUGGAGGCGUUGGUGGGAUACUACCCUCGCUGUAUGACCACUCUAACCCGCACCACUAAUCGUGGUGGGAGACAGUGUCAGGUGGGCAGUUUGACUGGGGCGGUCGCCUCCUAAAAAGUAACGGAGGCGCCCAAAGGUUCCCUCAGAAUGGUUGGAAAUCAUUCGCAGAGUGUAAAGGCACAAGGGAGCUUGACUGCGAGACAGACAGGUCGAGCAGGGACGAAAGUCGGGCUUAGUGAUCCGGUGGUACCGUAUGGAAGGGCCAUCGCUCAACGGAUAAAAGCUACCCUGGGGAUAACAGGCUUAUCUCCCCCAAGAGUCCACAUCGACGGGGAGGUUUGGCACCUCGAUGUCGGCUCAUCGCAUCCUGGGGCUGUAGUCGGUCCCAAGGGUUGGGCUGUUCGCCCAUUAAAGCGGUACGCGAGCUGGGUUCAGAACGUCGUGAGACAGUUCGGUCCCUAUCCGUCGCGGGCGUAGGAAAUUUGAGAGGACCUGUCCUUAGUACGAGAGGACCGGGAUGGACAUACCUCUGGUGUACCAGUUGUGCCGCCAGGCGCAUCGCUGGGUAGCUACGUAUGGAUGUGAUAAACGCUGAAAGCAUCUAAGUGUGAAACACACCUCGAGAUGAGAUUUCCCAUUCCUUUAUGGAAGUAAGACCCCUGAAAGAUGAUCAGGUAGAUAGGUUAGAAGUGGCAGUGCGGUGACGCAUGAAGCGGACUAAUACUAAUCGGUCGAGGACUUAACC